GACGAACGCUGGCGGCGUGCUUAACACAUGCAAGUCGAGCGGUAAGGCCCUUUCGGGGGUACACGAGCGGCGAACGGGUGAGUAACACGUGGGUGACCUGCCCUCAGCUCUGGGAUAAGCCUGGGAAACCGGGUCUAAUACCGGAUAUGACUCCAUGACGCAUGUUGUGGGGUGGAAAGCCUUGUGCGGCUGAGGAUGGGCCCGCGGCCUAUCAGCUUGUUGGUGGGGUGAUGGCCUACCAAGGCGACGACGGGUAGCCGGCCCUGAGAGGGCGACCGGCCACACUGGGACUGAGACACGGCCCAGACUCCUACGGGAGGCAGCAGUGGGGGAAUCUUGCGCAAUGGGCGAAAGCCUGACGCAGCGACGCCGCGUGA
RNAcentral lists this ribosomal RNA (377 nucleotides) under uncultured bacterium. RNAcentral describes it as "bacterial SSU rRNA". It matches the Rfam family "Bacterial small subunit ribosomal RNA", at positions 28 to 404 of the family's 1533-position model. The record is from RNAcentral.